RNAcentral lists this ribosomal RNA (468 nucleotides) under uncultured bacterium. RNAcentral describes it as "partial 16S ribosomal RNA". It matches the Rfam family "Bacterial small subunit ribosomal RNA", at positions 28 to 507 of the family's 1533-position model. The record is from RNAcentral.
GACGAACGCUGGCGGCGUGCUUAACACAUGCAAGUCGAACGGAAAGGCCCUGCUUUUGUGGGGUGCUCGAGUGGCGAACGGGUGAGUAACACGUGAGUAACCUGCCCUUGACUUUGGGAUAACUUCAGGAAACUGGGGCUAAUACCGGAUAGGAGCUCCUGCUGCAUGGUGGGGGUUGGAAAGUUUCGGCGGGUGGGGAUGGACUCGCGGCUUAUCAGCUUGUUGGUGGGGUAGUGGCUUACCAAGGCUUUGACGGGUAGCCGGCCUGAGAGGGUGACCGGCCACCUUGGGCCUGCGAUACGGCCCAGACGCCUACGGGAGGCAGCAGUGGGGAAUCUUGCACAAUGGGCGGAAGCCUGAUGCAGCAACGCCGCGUGCGGGAUGACGGCCUUCGGGUUGUAAACCGCUUUCGCCUGUGACGAAGCGUGAGUGACGGUAAUGGGUAAAGAAGCACCGGCUAACUACGUG